GAUGGCGACCGGCGCACGGGUGAGUAACACGUAUCCAACCUCGCAUACUGGGAUAGCCUUUCGAAAGAAAGAUUAAUACCCGAUGGUAUAAUAAAGCCGCAUGGUUUAAUUAUUAAAGAAUUUCGGUUAUCGAUGGGGAUGCGUUCCAUUAGGCAGUUGGUGAGGUAACGGCUCACCAAACCUUCGAUGGAUAGGGGUUCUGAGAGGAAGGUCCCCCACAUUGGAACUGAGACACGGUCCAA
RNAcentral lists this ribosomal RNA (242 nucleotides) under uncultured bacterium. RNAcentral describes it as "partial 16S ribosomal RNA". It matches the Rfam family "Bacterial small subunit ribosomal RNA", at positions 87 to 334 of the family's 1533-position model. The record is from RNAcentral.